UGCUAUGAAUGGGCAGAGAGGGGUGUGCUCUCACAGACACAAUCGCAGCAGUGAGAUGAGGAGUGCCAUCUACCCCGCUGCACGUCUGCCGAACUGAGAGAAGAGGAGAAAGGGAAGACGGGAGGAAAGGAGCCACACAAUCAGCGUUUUCCAGAGGAUAUCAUCCAUCUUAAUCCUCCAUCAGCACUGAACGUCUCCUGAGAACAAACAGCCAGCCAUGGAGCAGAAGACAAAUGAGAGUCCCACCACCACCUCUCCCCAGAAGCACAUGAAGAACAGGUCCAAGUCCACAGAGGAGAUGCAACAGUCGAAGAAGGCCUUUUCCUCACAAAAAUCACUCCCAGGCAGACCAGAACUGGACAGAGUGAAGGAGUGUCCCGACGGCUCUGACAUGCCCUCGCCCUCCACUGAAGAACUAAAGUGACUGAAAAAUUAAAGGAUCAAUAGGACAAUAGAGCUGCCAUCAAGCGACAACAUCAUCAUACAUACAUAAAACAUGUUACACACAUAAAAAUGUACAUAUGUACACAGGGAAACAUGCAAAAAUAUUUAGGAUAAUAGUGAACUAGAUUAGAACAUAUGCAAGCAAUGAUGUGAUCGGUUGAAGGAAACUGUAUAAAAAUUGGUAAAUUGAACACACACACAAACUCAUGCAGUCUGAGACAAUUGCAUGUAAACACAAGGACACCCAUGAUGAUGCUGUUUCAUUGUACUGUGAGUGUCAUAUACAUACCAAACUGAAUGUGUAUUGACAAUUAAUGUGUAUUGACAAUAAAG
This is a long non-coding RNA of Seriola dumerili (greater amberjack), 777 nucleotides long. RefSeq lists it as uncharacterized. The record is from RefSeq and is a predicted model, not a curated record. Lineage: Eukaryota; Metazoa; Chordata; Actinopteri; Carangiformes; Carangidae. The transcript has 5 exons.